UACCCGCUGAACUUAAGCAUAUCAAUAAGCGGAGGAAAAGAAACUAACAAGGAUUCCCUUAGUAACGGCGAGUGAACCGGGAAGAGCUCAAAUUUGUAAUCUGGCUGUCUUCGAUAGUCCGAGUUGUAAUCUAUAGAAGCGUUUUCCGUGCUGAACUGUGUAUAAGUCCCUUGGAACAGGGUAUCAAAGAGGGUGACAAUCCCGUACUUUACACAAUCAUCAGUGCUCUGUGAUACGUUCUCUACGAGUCGAGUUGUUUGGGAAUGCAGCUCAAAAUGGGUGGUAAAUUCCAUCUAAAGCUAAAUAUUGGCGAGAGACCGAUAGCGAACAAGUACCGUGAGGGAAAGAUGAAAAGCACUUUGGAAAGAGAGUUAAACAGUACGUGAAAUUGUUAAAAGGGAAACGAUUGAAGUCAGUCGUGUUUAUUGGAUUCAGCCGGUCUUCGGUGUACUUCCUUUAAACGGGUCAACAUCAGUUUUGUUCGGUGGAUAAAGGUAUUAGGAAUGUGGCUUCUUCGGAAGUGUUAUAGCCUAGUAUUGCAUACACUGGAGGAGACUGAGGACUGCAGCUCGCCUUUAUGGCCGGGGUUCGCCCACGUUCGAGCUUAGGAUGUUGACAUAAUGGCUUUAAACGACCCGUCUUGAAACACGG
This 651-nucleotide ribosomal RNA is filed under the name fungal sp. APA-2013. Its description in RNAcentral is "eukaryotic LSU rRNA". It matches the Rfam family "Eukaryotic large subunit ribosomal RNA", at positions 22 to 664 of the family's 3401-position model. Lineage: Eukaryota; Fungi. The record is from RNAcentral.